Molecule: ribosomal RNA, 51 nt
Filed under: Colletotrichum orbiculare
Lineage: Eukaryota; Fungi; Ascomycota; Sordariomycetes; Glomerellales; Glomerellaceae
Also listed under: 28 other names
Description: partial 28S ribosomal RNA
Source: RNAcentral
GUUGACCUCGGAUCAGGUAGGAAUACCCGCUGAACUUAAGCAUAUCAAUAA